This 1610-nucleotide long non-coding RNA is filed under the name Anas platyrhynchos platyrhynchos (common mallard). RNAcentral describes it as "lncRNA (ENSAPLG00000020514.1)". Lineage: Eukaryota; Metazoa; Chordata; Aves; Anseriformes; Anatidae. The record is from RNAcentral.
GUGCAGAAGAAUCAUAUUUUCUCAGGUAAAACAGGCAAAAAAGCUCCAUUUUUAAUUCUUCAGAUAAGGUGAAUAAGUGUGCUGUUUAAUUAUAUUAAAAGUGAAAGCUAUUGGACUCCCUACAAUUUUUUAUUUUUUGUUUUUCUCUAAUUUUCCAGAGCUUCCUUCUCUGAACACCUGGGUGUGGCUUCUCUCUGUUCUCAUAAAAUCAGUCUCAUGACCAAUUGCAGGAACACCCAGGGAACAGAACAAGGAGUUCUCUUGCAUCUGAAGACAGCCCCUAGGCUCUACAAGUUUGAUAACUUCCCAGUCAAUGAGUGAAUGUUCCUCUCUCAAUUUUUAUCAUUCACUGACAAAUUCUCUAGACACAUCCUUUGUUAAUCUGGAAGCCUUAAGAGAAAGCACCCCUCUCCCUGCUCAGGACCAGUUGUGCGAAAUUAAAGAAAGGAUCCAAUUAGAGGCUGGGGGCCUUCUUUAUCACCCUGAUACCUUCAACCAGACCACAGACCCCCAAAAUCAUCUGACAUUAACAUGGCACCAGAGGCUUGCCUCUAGCUGCAGGUAACACUGGACCUGUUUUGACAGUGCUGCAGUUUGUCUUGGUUUGUACCCUACAGCUAUGCCUUGGUGGAUUUACACGUGGACUGUUCCUCUGUCCCACCAGACAUUACAGUAGAAACUGCUCUUUAAAUACUCUGAACAAUAACUCCUUCCCUACAGGCUACAAAGUCCACGUUCUCCUUGAACUGAAGGGAGAAAAAAAAAAUAGUCCUCACAACUCAGAGUUCAAGAGUGUGAAUCAUGAAUGAAACCAUACCUAAAUCUUAGAAAGCAGUAAGAUUUAAGAUGCACCUUUGCUUUUCAUAUAUGUUUCUUAAAAGGUUUCCUCCUCAAACCGUUGCACAUAUGAGGUGUGGAAUUCUUCCUGUGCACAUACAAGGUCCCUAGUUUGUAUGUCAUGCAGCCCAUAAGGUCUGAAGGUGACUGACAACAUGGGUGUUGUUUUGUGAUGUCUCUGAAUACAAGAUGCUUGUUGUCUCAUUAAUACCGUGUUACGUUCAUGUCCUAUAUAAUUCUGUACAAGUCUGUACUACUGUGGGGUUGAAGGCUUACCCUAGUUUGCCAGUUUCCCUGGAAUAAUGUUAUUGUCAAUGUGCUUUAUUACCUCCAAAACUUUGCCAUUAUUUCCUAGCUGGGGGAUCCUUUCUGCUUCUCUUGCUACUCAUAUGAGAGUAAAAUAUGAAUAUUGAAGUACACAAAGGGCAUUUUAGCCUUAAAAGUUAGAGAAAAAAAAAAGAGUUGGAAAACAUUUGAAUUUUAUUAUAAGAGAUGUGAGUUUUUGCCAAUUUCUUGUUCAUAUUCAUAAGGUAUAAAGUCUGAGCAAUACAUGAAAAAUGUAAGUGUUCAUGUAACAAGAAACUGCAAGCAGACAGUCAUAGUUGAGAAUAUGAAUAAGAAUCCCAGUAGAGUGUUUCCAUUUCUGAGUAUUAACUCAGACGGUAAGUUACUUCCAGUGGAAGAUGCUGCAAACUGAAGUUUUCCAUUUUUUCUGAAGAAACAGACACAACAUUGUCAGUGACAAAAUAAACCUCCCACAGAAUUUUCUUUCA